This is a non-coding RNA of Pangasianodon gigas (Mekong giant catfish), 72 nucleotides long. NCBI's taxonomy places the organism in Eukaryota, Metazoa, Chordata, Actinopteri, Siluriformes, Pangasiidae. The record is from the annotation of a GenBank genome assembly.
ACUCUGCUACACUCUACUACACUCUAAUACACUCUGCUACACUCUAAUACACUCUGCUACACUCUGCUACAC